This 268-nucleotide long non-coding RNA is filed under the name Ananas comosus (pineapple). RNAcentral's name for it is "long non-coding RNA (ACOM_LNC038633)". Lineage: Eukaryota; Viridiplantae; Streptophyta; Magnoliopsida; Poales; Bromeliaceae. The record is from RNAcentral.
UUAAUUAUUUUCUGGCUCAGCUAGCUGUUACAUAUAAGGAGUAGGGCUACUGUGCUAUUAAUUAGAAGUAUAUAUAGUAAUUCUUGUGCUCCUAAUUUCGUAAUUAUUCAUUAAUUUUGAUGGGUAGUUAGAAUUAAUAUCUCAUUUCUCUCUUAACUUCUCUUUUCGUUGAAUUUCUCUACAAUUUCUCUUUUCUUUUUCACCCUAACCUUCAUCAAAAUUGAUGGAUGAUUAGAAAUUUAUAGGAGCAUAAAUGGUUACUAUACUC